This 425-nucleotide ribosomal RNA is filed under the name uncultured bacterium. RNAcentral describes it as "partial 16S ribosomal RNA". It matches the Rfam family "Bacterial small subunit ribosomal RNA", at positions 355 to 774 of the family's 1533-position model. The record is from RNAcentral.
UAACGAGUAUUGGGCAAUGGGCGAAAGCCUGACCCAGCGACGCCGCGUGUGGGAUGAAGUCCUUCGGGAUGUAAACCACUGUCAGGGGUUACCAAGUGACCGCGCAUAACAUGCGCGGAAGUUGAGGAGCCCCAGAGGAAGCCACGGCUAACUUCGUGCCAGCAGCCGCGGUAAGACGAAGGUGGCGAGCGUUGUUCGGAAUUAUUGGGCUUAAAGCGCACGUAGGCGGCUUAUCAAGUGUCUUGUGAAAGCCCUCGGCUCAACCGAGGAAUUGCUGGGCAUACUGAUAGGCUUGAGGCAGGUAAGGGCGAGUGGAACUCUUGGUGGAGCGGUGGAAUGCGUAGAUAUCAAGAGGAACGCCGGUGGUGAAGACGAUUCGCUGGGCCUGUCCUGACGCUGAGGUGCGAAAGCCAGGGGAGCAAACG